Molecule: long non-coding RNA, 286 nt
Filed under: Marmota monax (woodchuck)
Lineage: Eukaryota; Metazoa; Chordata; Mammalia; Rodentia; Sciuridae
Source: RNAcentral
UAGCAAGAACGGUCAUCACCCUUUUCCCUUACAGCAGUUGGAGGUCCCUAAUAUUAGAGGAAAAAUUACAGUCAACAUAGAUGUUUGCCAAUAUGUCUAGCUCAGGAAGAUGUACCUGGGAAACUACUCCCAAGAUCACCCUGGGUGAUCUCCCAUAAAGAGACACUUGCUUCCACAACCCAACUUAUAAGUGGGACAACUCCCCAUUCACCAAAAAUUGUGCUUCUCGGUUCCCACUUCGAACUCCUUGCCUCUAUCUCCAAACUGUCAAUAACUCUGAACUAUG